CCCACCCAGGCCCCGCCCCGUUCCUCUUCUGCUUCGCCCAGACCCCCGGCCUUCCCUGGCUUGGCUCCUGUAGUUCCCCCAGUGCGAGCCCCCUGCAGGCCGACACGGGGUCGGGCCAGUUCCCUACUAGCCCGUGGAACUGGGCGGCGGCGCACGAAGUAGACCCUCCAUAGACUUCGAAAUGGUGCCCACGUGGGCACCGAGCGCCCUACUGUAGCAGUGGACUCGAUCCUGGUCUGGCCUUUAACGUCGGAAGCUCUUUCACUCAGCACACAGAGAUUUGAACUUUGCCCCCAAAGAAAAUAAAACUGCAAUGCAAGUCUAAGGUGCUAGGCGGCUGUUACCUGGAAAUUUAGCUUUCAAUGACUUGUGCCUUGGGUGCAUGCCAACGUGGACCGCAGGGGUUCUCAGCCUUCACCUGCGGGGGAUCACCUGCAGGGCUGGUUAGGACGCAGACCAGAGAUUCCGGUCUGCAGGCUCCACAGGUGGGCCCCGCCGGCUGCAUUUCCAAGGCAUCGCAGGUGGUACUGACCGGGUCUACGCCGAGCUAGGUGCCCUCCGUAGGAGUUAAUUUCCUCAUGGAGGCAAAGUCAACAGCCACAAAACAACCGGAAAUAUUGUAAGAUAGAACAGGUUUAUUUGUCAAGGUGGAAGUGGGACUGAGGCUCACUAACUGCCUGACCUGUUAUGUUCCAUAACUAUAAACAUGAUUGUAGGAGGUAGUAGAAAUAGGGUCGCCUCUGCAGACAGGUUUUAAAACUGCAUUUAUACGGUAAACAUAGUGCUUUUCCUUUUUUUUUUUUUUUUUUUUUUGUGUGUGUGUGUGUGUGUGUGAGACGGAGUCUCAUUCUGUCGCCCAGGAUGGAGUGCAGUGGCAGGAUCUUGGCUCACUGCAACCUCCGUCUCCCAGCCUCCUGAGUAGCUGCGACUACAGGCACCCACCACCAUGCCCACAUAAUUUUGUGUUCUUUGUUUUGUUGUGAGACAGGGUCUGGCUCUGUCAGGCUGGAGUGCAAUGGUGGGAUCAUGGCUCCCUGCAGCCUCGACCUCCUGGGCUCAGGUGAUCCUCCUGCCUCAGCCUCCCCUGUAGCUGGUAUUACAGGUGUGUGCCACCUGUAGUAAUUUUUUUUGUAUUUCUUGUAGAAAUACGAGAAAUACACCCAGCUAAUUUUUUUGUAUCUCUUGUAGAAAGAGGGUUUCAUCAUGUUGCCCAGGCCGGUCUCAAACUUCUGGGCUCAAGUGAUCCACCCAUCUUGGCCUCCCAGUGUGCAGGGAUUACAGGCAUAAGCCACAGAGCCCGGCCUACAUAUUGCUUAUUAUUCAUACUUAAAAGCGCAUGCCUGGGAAUCGGGGGCUGGAGAGGGCUGAAGGCUCCCCAAGCCACCUUCCCAAAUCCUACGUCUCAUCUGUGCCAUGAAAGGGGCAGGUUAGAUGCAGGUUAGAUGUCAGCGUUUCCCACACUAGCCUGAGUGUAAGCAUCCACUGAGGGAACUUCCAAAUAAUACAGACUCCCAGAUCACGCUGAUUCCAGGAGGUCUGGGACGGGUGCAAGGAAUUUCAAGAAGUAACAUCAAGUUAUUCUUAUGCUCAGAGAAGGCUAAUAAAUUUGGGGCGAGGCCAAAAGGCAUUGGAAGCCAGUAGUUUGAAAGAAAAAUAGCUUUCCAAAGGCUUUCGCUUUGUAAAAACUAAAUGGUGCCUUUUGGAAUGCAAUGUGAACAUAACUUUUCCAAGGAUUUAAGGUGUUGAUGAGAAAGACAUUCUGAGACCUGCCAGCAGAGGGAGCUAUAAAACAAGAAAUAGAUGUUUACAGCCUCAACUCGGGAGAAAAAUACCGUGAACGGACCUUACACUACAGAAGUAACACUUUUCCCUCUGCUUUAUUUUCUCUAUAUGCUAAACUCCUUGCCUCUGCUAAAGAACAUCGCUGGAGUGUCUUGGUGUGUGAAGUAUGAAAUAGUUUCUAAAGACAUAAGUUGUGAUAUAGCAAGACAGAGGCAAAACCCCUCAUUCUUCUGAGAGUGUAAACAUCAUGUCGCAAGAAGCUCACCUAAAAUUUGAAAAGGAAAACUCAAAGAAAAUUUGAAAAGAAAUUCAAGGAAAAAAAUGUGACCUUUAAAAUUUCCAUGUUGACAGCACCACCAGGACCCCUUCUGGGAUCCGUUGCUAGGUAUAACUUCGUGCCUGACUCUGGAAGUUAAAAAAUGAAUAGUUACAGAUUCUUUUUCCGGGAGCCGCCUCUAGAGGGGUGUACCCACCAGGGAAGGUGAGCAGAGUGCCACCAAUCCUGUGGGUGCUCAGCGGGAGGUUGCUGAGGGAUGCUUCGUGACUCAACGCUGCUGAAGCCCUGAAGGCUGAUUUGGGUUUGCAGGGAACAGGAGGAUCGGCAUGGCGGAGCACGUUGGUCUGAGCACAUGUGAGGUAUUUAGAAAACUGCAAGUCAUCCAGCACAGGAGCAACGCCAGGCACAGGCAGGGGAGUCGUAGGGGAUGAUGCUGCAGAAGGGACAGACCGGGUUCUAGAAGUUGGCGAGCAAGGAAAUGUGAGCAUCUGGACUGCCGAAUGCACCCUGUUAAGUGCUACUCAUGUCGUUCUGACUGGGCUGAAUUGAAGAGCUGCCCAGCCUCUCCCCUGGCCCUGAGGCCCCUGAUCUAGAGGGACUAACUAGAGGGACGGCAUGGCAAUGGCAAGUGUACCCGAGACAGCAUGCCUGGAGGUUUACCCAGGAAUAUUCAUCCAGAGGGAAAGAGCAAUGGACGAUGAGCAUGUUGGACCAGACGGGCACGUGUCCAAGUGCACCCUAUGGAAUGUAUCAGCAUCGGCCUCGCCUGGAAGCCUGACAGAAAUGCAGAUUCCCAGGCCCUGCCCAGGCCUGCUGUAUCCGGAUCUCUUAGUGGUGGAGCCCAGGGAUCUGCAUGUCAUGAGUUUGCUCAGAGUAUCUGUGAACUGAGUUCAAUCCACAGCCCUCUACUCCAAUGCUAGCCAGACCCUGGGGCCAUUGCCUCUUCCCCCACAUGCCCCUCCAUACUGUCAGCACCUCUGCAUUGUGGCCUUUCUGCCACCCCCAACCGACUUGGGGAUCCCAACCACCCACACCCAGGGGCCUGCACCAGACUGCAGAGUGUUGCCUGAGGUGACACAGUCCACAGUCAUCCUUUUCUCCUCUCCUUCCCAGUUAAUUCCAUUUUCCACGCCUCUCAUGGCGAUUCCUGAUCUUCACAGGCCCCAGAGCCUCUGACCCUGGUGUUCCCCCUGAGAAAAUGAGGCCAGGGUUUGUGAGCUGCCCAUGCCACAGCUGUGCCUGCCUCAUCACGUGGAGUCCCUUUAGCUCAGCUCUAGGGUCCCCCUUCUUGCUUCCUCAAAGAUCCUCCUCUCUCCCAAGUUCCUCUUCUUCUUCUCAACACUUCUCUCUUCUGGGGCUUCCUCCUUGACACGUCAAUGUUGUCUAGCUGUCUUCAUCAAUUUUCUUUAUUAUUUUAUUUGUAUAUAUUGUAUUUUAUUUUAAGACAGAGUCUUGCUGUGUCAGCCAGCCUGGAGUUCAGUGGUGCAGUCAUAGCUCACUGCAGCCGCGACCUCCUGGGCUCAAGCGAUCCUCCCACCUCAGCCUCUUGAGUAGCUGGGACAACAGGCAUGGGCCACUACAGCUGGCUAAUAUUUUCUUUUUACUUUUUAAGAGACAGGGUCUUACUAGUCAUCCUUGUCUUUAAGAACGAAGCAAAACAAGGGUCUCGAAGAGAUAUUUGUACCCACUGUUCAUAGCAGCAUUAUUAAAGAGUUAAUAUGUGGACCC
Molecule: long non-coding RNA, 3787 nt
Organism: Gorilla gorilla gorilla (western lowland gorilla)
Lineage: Eukaryota; Metazoa; Chordata; Mammalia; Primates; Hominidae
Exons: 3
Source: RefSeq, a predicted model, not a curated record